UUUACCUACGGGGCGCAGCCGUCGGGCCUCUUUCUCCCUUUUUGCCACCCUGAAGCAGCAACGCCGCGUGGAGGAUGAAGGUUUUCGGAUUGUAAACUCCUUUUGUUAGAGAAGAUAAUGACGGUAUCUAACGAAUAAGCACCGGCUAACUCCGUGCCAGCAGCCGCGGUAAUACGGAGGGUGCAAGCGUUACUCGGAAUCACUGGGCGUAAAGAGCGCGUAGGCGGGAUAGUAAGUCAGAUGUGAAAUCCUAUGGCUUAACCAUAGAACUGCAUUUGAAACUGUUAUUCUAGAGUAUGGGAGAG
RNAcentral lists this ribosomal RNA (305 nucleotides) under uncultured bacterium. RNAcentral describes it as "bacterial SSU rRNA". It matches the Rfam family "Bacterial small subunit ribosomal RNA", at positions 334 to 656 of the family's 1533-position model. The record is from RNAcentral.